GACGAACGCUGGCGGCGUGCCUAAUACAUGCAAGUUGAGCGCUGAAGGUUGGUACUUGUACCAACUGGAUGAGCAGCGAACGGGUGAGUAACUCGUGGGGAAUCUGCCUUUGAGCGGGGGACAACAUUUGGAAACGAAUGCUAAUACCGCAUAAAAACUUUAAACACAAGUUUUAAGUUUUAAAGAUGCAAUUGCAUCACUCAAAGAUGAUCCCGCGUUGUAUUAGCUAGUUGGUGAGGUAAAGGCUCACCAAGGCGAUGAUACAUAGCCGACCUGAGAGGGUGAUCGGCAACAUUGGGCUUGAGACACGGCCCAACCUCCUACGGGAGGCAGCAGUCGGGAACAUCCGGCAAUGGACGAAAGUCUGACCGUGCAACGAUGCGCGAGUGCAGAAGGUUUUCGGAUCGUAAAACUCUGUUGGUAGAGAAGAACGUUGGUGAGAGUGGAAAGCUCAUCAAGUGACGGUAACUACACAGAAAGGGACGGCUAACUCCGUG
This 497-nucleotide ribosomal RNA is filed under the name uncultured bacterium. RNAcentral describes it as "partial 16S ribosomal RNA". It matches the Rfam family "Bacterial small subunit ribosomal RNA", at positions 28 to 507 of the family's 1533-position model. The record is from RNAcentral.